RNAcentral lists this small RNA (465 nucleotides) under Pongo abelii (Sumatran orangutan). Its description in RNAcentral is "processed transcript". The record is from RNAcentral. Lineage: Eukaryota; Metazoa; Chordata; Mammalia; Primates; Hominidae.
GAGACGGGUGAGGGGAAGGCACUGAAAUGGUCCUGGAGAGCUAUUGUUGGGGACUGGGGACCAGCUGUCAUCCCUUUUCCUGUGGGCAGGGGAGGCAGUGGUGGGAUCCCAUGAGACCCGGACUCUGUGGCCUGCCUUGAAAAGAUCUUUUGAGGUCGAGGAGGUCGAGACACCCAACUCCACCCCACCCCGGAGGGUCCAGACUCCCCUACUCCGAGCCACUGUGGCCAGCUCCACCCAGAAAUUCCAGGACCUGGGCGUGAAGAACUCAGAGCCGUCGGCCCGCCACGUGGACUCCCUAAGCCAGCGCUCCCCCAAGGCGUCCCUGCGGAGGGUGGAGCUCUCGGGCCCCAAGGCGGCUGAGCCGGUGUCCCGGCGCACUGAGCUGUCCAUUGACAUCUCGUCCAAGCAGGUGGAGAACGCCGGGGCCAUCGGGCCGUCCCGGUUCGGGCUCAAGAGGGCUGA